Molecule: long non-coding RNA, 3147 nt
Filed under: Sus scrofa (pig)
Lineage: Eukaryota; Metazoa; Chordata; Mammalia; Artiodactyla; Suidae
Description: lncRNA (ENSSSCG00065008231.1)
Source: RNAcentral
UAUGCUAAGGUCUGUCUAUAAUAUUACGAGAGUUCCUUUCCAGCAAAACUCCUUACAGCCAUUGUGAACAGUUCUGUUUCUGGAACUUUAGUUUCGCAGUUCUUUGGCAUUAGAUAAUACCUUGCUGGGAUCCAUUAACCCAGCAUAAUCAGCUCUUUUCUGCACUGUAUUUGGCUCUCAAAGCUUUUUGGCUGUCUCCAGAGAUCAAAAGUAUCAUCAAAGGGCCAAACUGGCUGCUAGAGAGACCAUGUGAAAGAAUAUGCCCAGGCUGAGAAGGCAGUUGGAAGAAAGAAAUGGGAAGUUAAGAAGGCAUUCCAAAAAUGCUGGCGACAAUGGCUGCGUGAUUGGACUAAGUAUGCAGACCCCAAAGUGGCUGCAAGGGGUGGGGUAGCUAAACUUUAUGCACACAUGCACGCGCCCGCACACACACGCACACACACACACACCCUUGUAUAAAGAUAAAUUGUUGUGAACUUCAGACUCUCUCUAUUUCCAGACCUCUAUUGCCUGUUUAUAGUUCUGUUCCCAUCCCCUCCACAUCAGCCUUCCCUCUCUUUUUCCCACUUUCCCUUUUCCCUCUACUCCUAAAUGGAUGGCGCCAGCAGGUAACAUUAGUGGCUGAGACGUGUGUUGACCAGGAUUUACAAGAAAGGCUUUGAAAAGCAGUAUUCUGAGGUCUUAAAGGGGAAGGUAUAUGAUGGAACGGAUAUAUCUUUUUAUUUCUUGCUCUUUGAAGGUACUACUUGUGGCAGAUUACAAGGAUGGUUUCAGAGGGGCCCAGAGCGAAAGAUUUCAGCAUCUGGUGAAGCCAGAUUUUUUUUUCUCUCCUCAUAGGGCCUCCAGUCUCCACCCUUCUGCAUCCAUGCAGGUUGGCACAUGUGACAAAACUGGAUAGAGUUUGUUCCUGUGCUAAGCUCUUCAUUCAGCCAUUCUGGCUAAGAGCCAGAAUGUAAAAUGAAAAACAUACCGUGUACCCUAAACUUUUCCCCUAUUUUAUAUAAGUUGGCAGUUUACGUGGCUCCAGACUUUUGGCAAAGUAUGGCCUUCCUACCUACGUUCAGGCCUGGCCAUAGGAAGCUGUGUUAAGCUGUAUGUGGGUAUCUUUUAAGAACAUUCUGAUAGUUUGCAUUGUGAGUUCAGGAGAAACUUGAAAGUAAGAUCUCCGGAGUUUUUGAAAGGCUAGGUUUUCCUUUCUUUUUUUGGAAAGCGCAUGAAAGCAGAUCUGGUGUCUCUGGCAAUUAAAGAGAUAAGCCUGGGGUGCAUUUUUGUGUUGUUUUGUUUUUUACCUUGCUGUCUCCCCAUCAGGUCUUUAUUUCUAAGUAGAAAACGGACAUUCUCUGUCAUUUAGGGGCAGAGUUAAUAAUUGCGAAAUGAAUAGAAAGUCUCCUGGUAAAACUCCAGUCUGCAUUUGGUAAUCUUCAACUUACCUGAAAGCCAUUCUGGGCAUGGUGAGGGCUGACCGGUCCCAGCCAUACUCUCCUUCAAAAAGGAGCAAGAGAAGGGGGUAAAAAGUUGCAUUUGUCAAUGUUUAUUACCUUGUGUGGAUUUUGUUUUAUUUAUUUAUUGUUUUGGCUUUUUAGGGCCCCACCCACAGCAUAUGGAGGUUCCCAGGCUAGGGUGUGAAUCGGAGCUGCAGCCGCCAGCCUGCACCAUAGCCACAGCAACACCAGAUCUGAGCCGCGUCUGUGACCUACACUGCAGUGCCCUGCAGCAGCGGAUCCUUAACCCAUUGAGCGAGGCCAAGGAUCGCACCUGCAUCCUUUUGGAUAUGAGUCAGAUUCGUUUCCGCCGAGCCACGACGGCAACUCCGAGACGACUUUUCCCUCGUGUGGAUUUUAAAGUCUAAUUACUGUCCUCACAGUGGACAUGGAUCAUUACUGCUGCGUAUCGAUCGUAUCACAAAGCGUGUCCUGUGUCCCUUCACUUAUUUAGAAACAUGGUGACCUGCUAAUUAAGGUUCCCCACCAUCUACCCUGUCCUACAUUUGUAGAUGUCACUCCGACUACCCCUUUGCAGACACCUGAUGCUUCUAAGGAAGCCACAUUCCUCACGUGGUCUGUCCAGGGCUGCUCUCAUCCUCCGGGUGCUGUUUGGUUCUGUGCCCUCAGCAGGAAGUGUGCUUUGUCCCUUCCAUUCAUUCCGAUCCUAUUUGGGGAGUUCUCUCUUGAUGCCAGCCCUUGCGCUAGGCUCUGGAGAUGCUGAAACACCAUACCCAUUUCCACACCCCCAGACUAUGCCAUUUCUUCCAAACCAAGCCGAGUGUGUCAGCAGGGUACUUCCUUUACUUUCCCAGGUGGAAGCCGCGUCCCUCCCUCCUCAAUGCAUCUAGAGCUUUUUGCCCGUGUGCAUCUAUCAUGGAAUUCACUCUGUUUCUUUGUAUUCUAUCUGGGAAUGGAACUUACCUUCCUUGGUAGAAUUUCUAGAAAGAAGAGCCUAUAGCAGAAUUCACCUUUGUAUCCUCUGUAGUGCCUAAUGCAGCCAUUUACUCGUUUAACAGGUAUUUAUUGCUUAGCUCUGUGCCACCUCCUGCUCAGGACAUUCUAUAAAUAUUGAUAUUUAUAGAGACCUUUGGGGUGCCUGAAAAAUAGAGACCUCAGAAGGACUAUCUGGUAUUAAGACUUGAGAGCAAAAGAGGCUUUAGGAGGUUGAAAAGGUGUUCCUUCUCUGGGGAUAAAUGAAUAACGCAUCCUGAGGUCUGGCUUUUGAAAUUUCAUAGGAGAAAUGUUGUGUUUCUGGCAGAAUAACUUAUUUCUAUUAGAUCUACAUCGGAACCUUUCUCUUUAUUUAAUGAUCAACCAGGUCUCUUGGGCUUGGAUAUCCUUUUGCAUCUGAAAUUCUCCUGUCAAACAAUGUCAUGUUAAAAACCGAUUUCGGAUUUUGUAAGGUUGAUCCCUGCAACUUCCAGUUCUAAAAUCUGCAGCUGACUUUUAAUUCAAAUAUGUAAGCAUAGCCUGACUGUAACCUGUGUGCCAUACUUCGUAGUUGUUUUACACAGUAACUGUAGUGGACGUUUUUGGUUUGAUCAUAAGAACAUCAAGAUGUUUUAUGUUUUUGAGUUGCUAAACAUCUGAAACCUCCAAAUCAUAUUGAUUUGUUUGCUGACUUAAUAUUGACUCUUUUCCGUUUGUGAUUACUUUAGACCCUUGC